RNAcentral lists this long non-coding RNA (829 nucleotides) under Anas platyrhynchos platyrhynchos (common mallard). Its description in RNAcentral is "lncRNA (ENSAPLG00000021443.1)". The record is from RNAcentral. Lineage: Eukaryota; Metazoa; Chordata; Aves; Anseriformes; Anatidae.
AUGCAAGACCAGCUGAAAGUAAGAAUUCCUUGGACUUGCCCCAGGAGCUUUCCACUAAAAGGGAAAAGUUUGAUUAUUCUUGAGAGUACAAGGAGCAGGUGGGCUGUAACGUGCUGGCUCCCACAUCUGCAGUUCCAUGUAUUCAGUAUGUCAUUCAAGGUGGAUAGAGUUUCAUCAAUCUUCAAAAUGUGCAAUGGGAUAAAUUCCCAGUGUUUAAUUUUUCACCGUCUCAAAACUUCAGUCACAGAAGAAGAAAAGCAAAAACAAAAAAAACAAACCGUGCUUACAGAAUAUAAAGAAAUAUCUUUACUCAGAAAGAAAUAAAAUUCUAACAGUAAAAUACAUAUUCAUCUUGUAUUUCAUUUCAACACAGUGCUUUAAAAGGGGAAGUCCAGAUACUUAUUUGUGUUAAAAAAAAAAAAAUCAACAAUUUUUUCUAAUUGUUUUGAAGAUUCUUGUUGCAUUUCUAUUCAGAGACAAGGCGUUUGAAUGUUUAUUUUUUUUCUGUUUACUUUUAAAGGUUGUUUUUAUCAUUUAAGUACCCUUCACACUUUAAAAAUAGAUGUUAUGAUCAAUGAUAAAACAAUAUUACGUGUAAAAUAGUUAUUAAUUUUAAGCUGAAGUUGUUAAAUGGUGAAUAACAGGGAACUGGCCUGUGUCCCCAAAAAAAUCUUUUCCAGUUUCUGUAGAAAUGUAUGCUUCAUUGUCUCUACAACUUUGAAAUACAUUAUGUCACUCAGGACCUGUUUGUUAGCAAAGUAACUCACUGGAUAAUAUAAUAAUCAUGUCUUAUGUUUAGAUGUGUUAAUAAAGCAGCUUGUGGCUGCCA